RNAcentral lists this ribosomal RNA (419 nucleotides) under uncultured bacterium. Its description in RNAcentral is "bacterial SSU rRNA". It matches the Rfam family "Bacterial small subunit ribosomal RNA", at positions 356 to 772 of the family's 1533-position model. The record is from RNAcentral.
AGGGAAUAUUGGGCAAUGGAUGCAAGUCUGACCCAGCCAUGCCGCGUGCCGGAUGAAGGCCCUCAGGGUUGUAAACGGCUUUUAUUCGGGAAGAAGAGCAGGGAUGCGUCCUUGUGUGACGGUACCGAAUGAAUAAGCACCGGCUAACUCCGUGCCAGCAGCCGCGGUAAUACGUAGGGUGCAAGCGUUGCCCGGAUUUAUUGGGCGUAAAGGGCGUGUAGGCGGCAGGGCAAGUCAUGCGUGAAAUCUCCCGGCUCAACUGGGAGGGGUCGCGUGAUACUGCUCGGCUUGAGCAAGGUAGGGGGCAGUGGAAUUCCCGGUGUAGUGGUGGAAUGCGUAGAUAUCGGGAGGAACACCAGUGGCGAAGGCGGCUGCCUGGACCUUUGCUGACGCUAAGGCGCGAAAGCGUGGGGAGCGAU